GCCUGGGUGGCUCAAUUGGUUAAGUGUCUGACUCUUGAUUUGGGCUCAGGUCAUGAUCUCAGGGCUUGUGGGUUUGAGUCCCACAUCAGGCU
Molecule: transfer RNA, 92 nt
Filed under: Felis catus (domestic cat)
Lineage: Eukaryota; Metazoa; Chordata; Mammalia; Carnivora; Felidae
Also listed under: 1 other name
Rfam family: tRNA
About the family: Transfer RNA (tRNA) molecules are approximately 80 nucleotides in length. Their secondary structure includes four short double-helical elements and three loops (D, anti-codon, and T loops).
Source: Rfam by way of RNAcentral